RNAcentral lists this long non-coding RNA (41722 nucleotides) under Cucumis sativus (cucumber). Its description in RNAcentral is "long non-coding RNA (CSAT_LNC002118)". Lineage: Eukaryota; Viridiplantae; Streptophyta; Magnoliopsida; Cucurbitales; Cucurbitaceae. The record is from RNAcentral.
AGCUGACGAGAAUAUUUAUGUAAGAAAAAUGAUCUGAUAAAAAACAAUUGAAGAAAAUUCUCAAAUCCAUGUUUCUACUAAUAUCUGUGAAGGAAAACGAUGAAAGCCCCAGGUCAAGUUGAUUUGGCGAGCCAACAAUGAUCCAGUCUGAUCAUUACCCUAAGAAAAUUAUUAAGUUUCAAACUGGAUUUAAGAGCUCUUGUAAUCUAUUUUGUCCUUUUGUCUUUCAGCCCGACAAGCAAUCCUCUCUUCAACAUCUUGGAAAAAUACUAUUUCUGUAAAAUAAGUUUUUUCUUAUCUACACAAACAGAAGUAAAGAUACUAUAUAUGCGCAUAUUAUGAAGUAGGAAUUUUGUUUUAAAAAUUGCAAAGGUUUUUUAUUGGAAAAAUUAAAUAAUCUUUGAGAUUGCAAUAAUUUCAAGAAAAGAUCCGAUAAUCUCAAAAUGGGUGCUUCUAAUAGUCCAUUCGAAAAUAACUUUUCACUUUAAAAGUGACAUCGAUGAUACCUAAGACAAUCUAUUAUAUAAAGUAAGAAAAUAGAUAUAUAGAAAAAAGAACCUGAGAGAUGAAGAUAUGACAAUAAAUAGACGGAGGUCAGACACAAGAUGAUAGCAACAAAAACAGCAACUAUCACGCUCCCCAGCCAGUCAGGAGUGCUACCUGGAUUCCUACAAACAGUGAAAAGUGCAUUCAGUACAUAUCUUCAGAGCAUCUGAAUAAGAGAGGAAGCUUUGAGGCAUGGAUGAUAAGAUAUGGACUUUGAAACUUUUUGAGCGUGUUAAAUCUAGAAUCAAUCCAAAAGCUCAAGCCAAUAAAUGGGUUACAGUAAAUUGAAUCAUAUGAAAACUCCUUUUAGAAAUCCAAAUAAGUGGAAAAUAAAUAUUAAUUGGAAAGAAAAUGACAUUCUAGAGGUUCGAUGUUCAAACCUGGGUUCUCUUGCUCUAAUACAAUAUUAAACCAUGAAUCAAGCUAAAAGCAAAGGCUAAGCUGAUGAUUGUGAUAAAUUUAGUUAUAUCAAUCAUCCAACAUAUAGAACACCUCUAAAUUAUCUCAUGUGGACCAUUCAUCGUCAUAUAUGGACAGUUUUGUGUAAAAGCAGUUAACCAAACAAAUAGAAAGACUGCAAGAUCCUUGCAAUUAGUUCUUGCUUCUAUAGAGAAGGAUGACUGGGUGUCACUCCUCCAGUCCUCCUUAUGGGGGUCAUAACUUCUUUCUCAAUUAUCAGCUCAGUAAGCCUUCGGUAGCCACUACCUUUCCACAAUAGCAAGGCAGGAAAGGUUUGGUUGGUAUUUGGUAAUAUUCAAAACUUUUAGACAUCUUUAUUGUUGAAAGGCUGACAGAUUGGCUGAACAGGAAGUGCUGAACUUUGAAAAAAUUUGGGCUAUUCUCUACUAAAUCCUACUUUUAACUUUCUCGUUAGCAAAUAUAAACUUCUUUGCCAGCCCAACAAAAGGGCUAGUUGGAAUAAGAGUGAGUGUGUGUGUGUUCUAUACAUAUAUAGGACUAAAUCCUUCAUUUGGUCCUUUUUCAUAGGACUUAAUAUCAUAAUCAGCUGUAGAAGAAACUUCUCACUAAUUGCCUCGAUCAAAGUUGGUGCAUCAAGAAUAGAAGAUCAGAAGAUCAAAACCAUCUCGGCACUUUAUAGUUUUUAGCACUAAUGCUUCCAUCGAGGUUUAAAGAAAAUCAGAAGAACUUUCAGCUUAAUGAUAAAUAGCAUACCUAUCAAAUCGAACUGCACUACCAAUGAGACUGCUAGCCAAACGAAUAAUAGUACCAGCUGAGACUAAAAGUGGCACAGUUAAGCCUAUCAACAGUGUUGCAAGUUUGAGAGGCUUUGGAAAUCUUGCAGGGGUUAAAGUUGCUUCGAGCAAGCCAUCUGGAUGAAAACAUGUAGCUCAUUUAAAAUUAAGACUACUGUGAAUUGAAUUUACUACUCGACAGUGUCAACAUGAACAAAAUACAAGUAGUAUUGUCAGAAAAGAUAGGGCUAAAUUCUAAACUUACAUGCAAAUGCUGGAGAAACUAACCAAACAAGAGCUAAAUAGGAUGAUCCAAUUUUAUAGUAGUUGCCUAUUAUCAGAAAAAUGAGCCACUGAAAAGAUCCUGCUUUAAAGAGCCAUCUUUCAGCCUCUAACCUGAUCAGUUCUGCACGGGUAGCGGGCAACAGCUGCUCUCUUUUGGAAUAUACAUUAGAUAAAUAGGUGUGAAGGAUUAGAAAACCAACGUAUUGACCAGCCAAUGCUCCAAGAAAGGCAGGAGCAACAAAUAACCCAACGGCCAACCAUGGACUUGCAACAUAGGGAACAGGUGAUGAUGAUAUUACAGGUAGAAUGAAGGCAACAGAAGCAGAGAAACUUAGCGAAAAUAUCCACAUUAAAACCAAGCUCAAACAUGACAACGCCAGAGAAACUGCAGCCGGAAAACCACCCAUGACUAGAGAUGUAAUCCAUAUCAUAAGCGACUGGAUGAUCACCGAGUUGUGAAGCAAGGUUGCAAAUCUUUGACGAUACACAAUCAUGUAUGUUCCCUGAUCAGUUAGGCAUAAUGAACAAAUAACUAACUGAAAAUUACAAAAAAGAAAAAAAAUGCAUGUGCUGGUUCCAAAGGAAGGCCAAAUUGAAGGUUAUGACAAACAAAAAUUACUGAAAAUAGCCACUUGACUAUAACUUUUUUACUCAUCAUUAUUCAUCAAGAAUAGAAUAAGAGACAAACCAGAGAUCUGAAACUGAAAGUGACAAAAAGGAGAAAAAAUGCAGCUGGGUGGGUGGUUCCAAAGGCAGCUAAGAAUAUUAUUAUAAAAAAUAUUUCCCAAAAAUUGUGAAAAUCCAAAACAACAAAAAACAGCUUUUAGAAACAAUUUCGAAAAAAGAAAAUACACCAAAAUAAUCCCUUAUUAACAAAACCUAAAAGAACAAAAAACAGUAUAUAGAAACACUUACCCAAAUAACCACUUAAUAAUUAAAAUAAAAAAUACAAAUACAAAUAUUGUUAAAAUUAAUAAUAAAAAGAGUGAGUAAUCUAAGGAUAAAAAAGGAGUCUUACCAGGAUGUCAAAAUAUACAGCUUUGUCUUGAUCAGCAUGCUGACUUUUAAUUACAUUUUCAGAAAGUUUAGGGGAAGGAGCAGCAUGCAGCAGAAAAGCAAGCAUGUUUUCUCCAAGAUGUUGAAGAGAUCCUGGUUUUAGAAGCUCAAACUUGUCAUUCUGCAGAUUAAAUGUACAGAGUAAUGAAAGUGCUAUCCUUCCAGAUCAAUUUUAGUUUGGGCAUUAGCUUCUUAAAGUAUUUAGUCACGAAACCUCGACGGUAUUUCUUCUUACUCAGCAUGCUCUACAGGCAUUGCCUUAAUUGCUUUUUGAAAUUUAAAAUCUACAGAGAGAGUUAUCAAGUAUCUUAACUCUUCAACUCCAAAUACUGAUUUCCCCUUAUUUUUUCAUUUACAGAAAGAAAAGGCUUGCUGAUGGUAUAACUUAUACGCCCACAUAGUAUUAGAACUAGAUCUGAUUACUUAGUAAAUGCAUAAAAACAAAUGCCCCGACCAUAUUUGACUGAGUGCAGAAACAAUUAUCAGAAUCUUUAGCUAUAGAUGCAGACAUGCAAGCCAUCAUAUGAAACUGCACAAAUACUUAUGACACAAACCAUAACAGCUGCAUCUUUAAAUUUCCAGCUUAGCUGAUGCAGAGUUGACCACGAAAGGAAGAUAGAGUUUAUAUAACUGUUGUUCAAUCAGUUAAAUGUAAAAUUGCUAAAACUUUAUCAAUAUGCAAAGCACAAACUGAAGGGUUCUGUAAGAUAUUAAGAUUCAUUCCUCUGAUUGUCAUUGAAUAUAAAAACUCUAGUGAAACGCCAACAAGAAACUUCUAGAUACAGUUAACAGAGAAAUGAAGUUAAAUAAUAGAGAACCUUCGUGUGAUAAACUGCAGUGUUGUCUGCAUAUGCAAAGUCAAGUCCCGACAGACCAGCAAGUUCUCUGUAGAUUUGAAAAUCCGUUCCAGACUUAAUGGCUCCAGAAGUAAAAAGAUCCUAUAAGAUAGCAGUUACUCCUCACUUCUAUUUAUGUCAAAAAAAAAAAAAGGAGAGAGAGAUUGAGAGGGGGAAGAAAUUACCAACCUCGGAUACUAUUUGAGCAGACGGGUAUUUUGCAACUGAUGCAAAGGUCUCGACAGCCCAUGGAUGUGAACCAGUCUAUCAGAUGAAGAUUCACGAGAGAAUUAUAACUUCAUAACUGAAAGCAAACAGUAAUACAUAAACUGUCACCUGUGUGACUUGGUAUUGAUUAAAUAACAAUUUACUGCCAAGACCUGAAAUAUUCCAGAUUUCCCUCCAAUACCAAUGGCCUCUAAAUCAACAGCCAAGCGAAUAGUUUUACUCCAGGGAUGCUGCAUUGUUAAAUUCUACAUCAGUUCUACAAUUUGAGACACGAUUUCUAACUGUUACUAUGCCAUAUGUCCUCCACCUCAUUUUAGUAUACUACAGGAGUAGUGCCGAAAAUACAUCGGUUCUCUCAUUUUCGCCAUGUACAAACAUACAGAUGAUCAAAGCAAUCAGCAUAAAACUUUCAGAACAAAUUAAGUAGGUCAAUUAUGGAAAAACACUAUCGGGUGUUCUGGUUUCUUCAGAUACCCAUAAAACAUGAUAAAGAAUUUUGAUUUCCUUAAUAUGCUAGAAAAUAUUUGAGGAGGCCUAACAUAACAAAUAGUAGUUGCACAAGGAAGAGGUACUAGGAAUCCAGUCCAUGUGAUACUUGACCUUGAAAACUGGAGAAGAAAAUCAUCCAAGUAAAGUAAUACUAACCUGAGUCAUAAAGCUAUGGGCACCAUUGAGACCCUCCUCCUCCCCAGUAUUAAAUAAAAAUAUCACACCACUUUUGAAUCCAUGAGCCCACUGAGAAAUCCCUCGGGCAAGCUCUAACAUGACAGCAAUACAAGAGCUACAAUCCCCUGCUCCUUCACUAAAACAAGUAUAGCACAUACUAUAUUUUAGGGCUCCAUGGACAGAAUAUAAUAAUGGUAAGAACUGAUUGAUGAGAAUAAAGUCAUACGUUGAGAAAACAGUGUCAAUGUGAGAAGAAACUAGAAUUGUAUUUUCUCCAGCUUCAUCAGCAUACUUUGGCAACACCCUUAAUAUAACAUGAUAUAGAUCUGAAUACAUAAGUGUUUUCCCCCGAAAUAGACCACCAGAAAGACGAUUUACUCCAGAUUUUGCAUGAAAUUUUUGCACUUCAACAUCAACUUCCCAAUGAGCUGUUUUCUUUAUUUUUUCUGCUGUUUUUAACACAUACUGGAGAAAACAGCAUUGUGUCAAGUAUCUAUGUACGCUUGUGCAAAAAGGAUAAAUAGACUGAUGUAAUCCAUUAUGCAAUCUCACUGUGAGUGAGCAUGUGUAGGGGAGAGAGAGGUCAAGUAGAUGGUCUUACAUGAUGAGCAAAAAUUCAAAGUAGUCAUUCCCAAAGAAAUCAACUCUAAAACUUGAAAUCCUUUGGAAAAGGGAGAAAAAAAAAGUCUUUGAUAUAAAGUGGUCAGUGUGCAAAAUUAACAAUGUUUUUUUUUGGUAGAAACAACUAUUUUCAUUAAGAGAGAAUGAAAUAAAAUUUUAACGAUGUGUUAUAUAUAAUUCACAUCUAAAAUUUGAACUACUACCAAGAAUAAUGCUCUCGUUUUUAACUAGGGACAGUAAGUUAAACAUGAUGUGACAUUUUUUCUCUAUGAUGCUGCAGAGUGAUCAUAGAAAUAAAAUGAAGAGUUGCGUUGGUCUGAACUUGACAAGAAAAACAUUUUAUUUGUCAAAUAUUAAAAUCAACCAAUACUUCCUAAUCAUAAAAUUCAGAUUAGUUGCAUGCGAAUAAAAAUGAAAGUCGGACUAGAUAUUGGCUUUAAGACUCCAUGCUCGUUUAGUUCUUGAAACUUCAAUUUGUACUGUACAUCUUAUCUCUUCUUCUCUUCAAUUUUAUUGUAUAAAAGGUUAACUUGCUAAUUAAUAGACCUUUUACUUGCCCACCAAUAUGUGAGGGUGGGAAUCGAACCUCAAACCUUCAAGUUGACAGUACACAUUCAUGUCAAUUGAGUUAUUCUCAUUUCGGUUAAUUUACUAAUUAAUAGACACCCAAUAAAAAUUGAGGAUACUUGCAAAACACAUUCAUGCAUAUGACGUACUAACAAAGUGGAUGUUGUUAUCUAUCCUUUUCCUUUCAGACCAUGAGGUACCAAUUACCAAUUAUAAUUGAAUUACAGAUAGGUUUGUAUUUUACAAAAGAGUUUGUUGAAUAGCAUGCCAAACUGAAGGUAAUACAAAAUAAAUAUCAACCCAGAAAAGUGAUUAACCUCCAGUGCGAGAUCGAGUGCAUCAGAUCCAACAGGAUGAGGACCCAAUGAAGUUAACGCCUUAACGUGCUUCAAAGCCUCAGCCUCGGAGAAACCUCUUUUGCCAGCCUUCUCCGCACUAAGGGGGAUAGGUAAUUUCUCAAACUGUUGUUGAUAAACGGCCCGGAAGCCAUAUAUGGUAAACACAAGCAAGGACAGCCAUACAUAUAGUGACCUCUGUGGCCUUACUACUGAUAUCGUUUGAGGAGCACUGUCAUCAACAUUAGGAACAUUUUCUUCAGGCUUCUUGAAUGGUUUACGCGAUUCUGAUGAACUUCCAGUCCGUCCCAUUAUUAGAUGAUAAAUAAUAAUCUAACACAAUGAAAACGUCUGCAGGGGACAGAAAUCAAGGGAACUGCAGUCAGUAAGAUAUCUCCAAAUUGAUUCACUAGUUCAUAAACUGAAAAUUGAUUCAUAACAAAGGCAUAGAAAAAAAAAUGUGCAUUCGAUGCAUAAUAUAAAAAACACAGCAUCAAACGACAGAUUCAUUGCCUCCCUCAUUCUUCAGCUUAGAGCUACAUCUCAAUAAAAUAUAGUCAGAAGCAAAAUUCCAAAUCUAAUCGUCCAUGAUCGCCUUAAGCAAACCAGUAGGCACAGCCACAACGCAUACAGUGAAACAAACAUGAAGAAAUUGCAUGUUACAUAGUGAAAAAAAAAAAAAAAAAACAUAGACCCAGCUCUACCGAUACCGUAAUAGCGUCAAAUAUUUCUUCAAAUAAAAACAAAGAUCCGAGAGUUGAGGUAAUGAUUGCAAAAGGAAAACAGGGGAAAACUUACACAGUGGACUACAAUUGGAACAGUUUCAUGAAACAGUGAAGAAUUGAUAGAUAGAGGGGUCGAGGAAGAAAAGAGAAUACCACAUCCGAUUGGGAAAUUGAGGAUUUCGAGAGGAAAAUGAGAUCGAAGGAAGUGGAAAAUUGAUGGGCGCGGUAGAGGUCGUUGGGAGUCCACUGUCAGUAUGGCUCGCGUCAUGUGGGUAUAGGAUGACGAUUAUGGCAUAUAUGAUAUGGGUUCAUCAUUGUGGGAUUAUCAUUUAAUUACGUACUUCCCUUUUUAACCAUAUGCAAUGGUUUAAUGUAACUUUACAAAAUUGAGGUACUCCGGUUUAAUAUAACUCCAUAGGUAACACAUUCCAUCUCCUGCUUAGUGUAGCUCAAUAUAAAGGUAGGUUUGUAUCUCAACCACUUUGUAAUUUUACUACUGUCAAUCACAUCAUCAUUUGAUAACGUCUAUCAAAUUAUUUUGUAGGAAUCUACAAAUGUUUUGGUUGAGAUUGGUAUAUUUACAAUUAUCGGUUUUGAUUGCUAUUCCAUUUUUUAGUAAUUUACCAAAAAAAACUCAUAAUGUUCUUUUUUUUUUUGCUUGUAUAACAUAAUAAGAAAAGUCGAGUCAUCGUUUUUUUUUACGUAUUUCAUGUAUGUCGUUGCCAUUUAUAUAUUCUUUGCGAUUUAGUAAUCAUGGAUCAUUGUAAUUAAGGUCCGAGAUUGCAUAAUUAAAGUAAAGUCUUCCAUUCUAUGACAUCUCGAGGCAAUAUAUAUCAGAUAUCAAAUAAAAUAAAGGCAAAUUUCUUUCAUCUGGAUCAUCUUAGUGCCACUAAGGUCCAAGAGGAAAUACAAUGACUUAAGGAAUAAUUAUUUCAUAUUGGGGUAUCUUGGCGUAUGGUAUGCCCGACAUCGUGCACCACAAAUCUACACGAUUGUGUAUCACACGUGUGUUGGUCGAUUUAUUUCAUUGACGGGUGAUUUUGGUAUUUUAGGUUGUGGGCCUAUGAGUUUUUUUUGUUUUCAAAAUUGUUAUUAUUUUUUAAAAGUAACCAAUUUUGUAGGUUAUUAUAAUAAAUAGCAAUAUUAGGAAUAACAAUGGUUAAUAUUCAUAAAUAUAAAAAACAGUAAAUAAUAUUUACCUCUGUAAGAAAAUGAAAAAAUCAAUGAUCAAACUUUAUUAGUUUGCCAUUUUUUUCUUCUAAACUGUUGUUUGGUUGUUCAAUAUCAUAUAUAAAAUGUAUAAGAAACAGUCAAAUCUAAAUUACGUAGAAUCUUUAAAAAGUCGACUACCUAAAUUUAAACGAAUAAAUCUAAAUUAUAGUGUAUAAAUAUAUUAGAUGCUUGGUCCAAAUAGGAGGACAUUUUUUAUAUUUUUCAUCGUGGAGUUGUGAACUUUUUAUGUUUUUGAAUUUAUUUUAUAUAAAUAUUUUGUCGUAUUUCUUAAAAGAAACCAAUAAUAAUUAAAUACGUAGUAAUAUUUUAAAAAAUUACAAAGCAAAGUUUAUCUACGAUAGACUUCUAUAGCUGAUAAACUAGUAAUAGAAUAAUAUUUGUAAUAUAGUUCAUUAGUGAUAGACUUUUAUCAUCGAUAGAUUUUAACAAAUUUGGGUAUAUUUGUCGUAUCGGAAAUUGUUGCUAUAUUUAUCCGAAAUAAAAAUGGGCCAAACCAUCUCCUGACAAACUUACCGAUCGGCCCACCAGCAACAAAAUUGGGCCGAACUAUUUUUUCAAAUCGACUCGUCGGCCAGGACGAAAAAAGUCCAAAGGAGAUCGCAGAAAUGUGACGACGUGUCGGCUCAGUCCCCAUAGAUAUCUUUCGACUUGGCGAAAUGAGCUGAAACAGUUCUUAAAGAUGAGCAGAGUGUAGACAGUAGAUUCUUUUUGGCGAUCUUCAUCAUACCAUAUAGCCAUGGCCGGCCUCCAUCUGCCCUCUAAUGCUCAUGUGAAGAACGGCCUUCCACCCCAAGAACUUCUCGAUGAUCUUUGCAGGUACGCGCUUUGUUUCUGUUUCUCUCUAUUUGAUUUACGUUUUGCUGUGAGCUAUUUGUUUGUUAGAUGUGGCGAUCUUACGGUUUUUAGCUGAAUUUGAUACGAGCUGGUUUAUUCUAAUUAUCUUUCUUUUUAUUUAUCCACCUGAUUGUCGUAUAUUGUUUUUGCAAAACGAAACUAUGUCAGUUAGAACUAUUAAUUAGGCAUCUUGUUGAAGAAAAUAACAUGAUGGGUAAAACAUUGGACCAUUUCCUGAAGCGAAUGAUCAUAAUUCUUCCAAAAGUGCUUGUCCUUGAAUGGGUUUUUUUCCUCCCUCUGACCCUACAAUAAGCAAAAACUUUUUUCCCGACCCAUCUGACCCUACAAUAAGCAAAAAAAUAUACUCUUAAACGGAUUUUGGAAGCCUACCUUCAUUCAAAUGAGUCAAUUGACAGUUUAGAUCUUAUUUGAUAAUGAUUUUGUUAUUAGUUUUAUGUUUUUGAAAUUUAUGUUUGUUUCUUGCCACUUUCUUUACUGGCCUUCACCUUUCUUGAAGAAACAUUCCAUAAAUACAAACGUGUUUUAAAAAUGUAAUUUUUAUAUUUUCCGAAACCACCCAUGUAGAGGUGUCAUUUUGAUGCCUUCUUUUUCCCUCAUAUGCAGCCGAUUUGUCUUAAACGUGCCAAAGGAAGAUCUACAAUCAUUUGAGAGGAUUUUGUUUCUAGUUGAAUAUGCCCAUUGGUUCUACGAAGACAACUCGGUUGAAAACAAUCCUUCACUGAAGUCCUUCAAUUUGAAGGAGUUCACUUCAUUGUGUAUCCUAAGCAUCAUGCAAUCCAUUACCUUAACAAUGUGCUUGGAUGUUGUUUUCAAUGUUCUGUUUCUAUGGUAAAUAAAUGCAACUCUAUUUAUUAACUUUAUCAUUUAUUUAUUUAGCAUAUGAUUAAUUUGAUUAUACCACUGCUUUGAGCUAGUGUUAUCUCUAUCUCAAUUUGUGGUAAACUGUUUAUGCACCCACACAUACAUAACAUAUUCUUGAGUCUGUCAAACCCGUACUUUCACUUAUAAGUCUGAAUUUAUGGCAUCUCUGUAUGGUUGCAUGAUGCUUUCUUAUUUGCUUAUGCUACUUUUCAUGGAUAUCUUUUUCUUCCUUAAUCUUCUACAGUAUUUAAUAGUUGUGAUGUUUUGAAACCAUAUGUGCCCCACAUAGACGACAUAUUUAAGGACUUCACAUCUUAUAAGCUUCGAGUUCCUGUCACUGGGGGAAUUAUUUUGGAUGAAACCUUUGAGAGGGUACGUUUUGGUUUGUUAUUAUUAAAAAAAUGGUAGAUGUGAGGAGUACUUAUACUCUAUUUGUGCCUCCUUUUCUCUCUCAACCAAACAGUGCUUACUAGUGAAGGGAUGGAAGGGGUCAAGCUGGAGUUUUCCUCGUGGAAAAAAGAGCAAGGAUGAAGAAGAUCACGCCUGUGCUAUUAGAGAAGUAAUUUUUCUUUCUUAUUUUGGACUUUGAUCACAGUAAUUAGUAUUUCGUGUUUGAAAAUGCCAACUUUUAUUGAGAAAAAAUGAAUGAGUAUGAAAAUAUUAUAGAAAACACAUAAACCAGAGAGAGGAAAAAAACUCUAAAAUCUUUUGGUACAAAGAUUCGAAGGGAAGCAUUGAACCUCUGUAAGGCCCAAAAUUCCUCCCAAGAACUCACCACAACUCUUCCCUUAUUUCUCUACUGUGAAAUAUACCAUAUUAUCACAGAGAAAGUGCCCUGCCAAACAGUCACAAUCUAUCAUGAAUAGGAGGGUGAAAUAGUAGUUCCUGGACUGUAAAUGGUUAUCUUAUCUUACCUCCUCCUAUGGCACAAAGCUUCAGGUUUAUGGGCUCAAACUGGUUGUUUUUCAUCUGAUAUUAUUUGUAUUAAGCAAAAAGAACACCAAGGAGGUUUUGUCGCUUCCGGGCUUCAACUGAAUUACUUAUGUCUGUAUCAAAUCAAGUUGGUACUUUGGCACUUAUCUCACCAUGGAAUAUAUUUUGGAUUGAGAAUGUAGGUUUUGGAGGAAACUGGUUUUGAUGUUACACCGUUCCUUAUCAAAGAAGAUUUUAUUGAAGUGAUGUUUGGACAACAGAGAGUGCGGCUCUACAUUAUAGCUGGGGUGAAAAAUGAUACUGCCUUUGCACCUCUUACUAAGAAAGAGAUCAGUGUAUGUCUUCCUUCUUCGUUUUUCUAUCAGUUUAAGGCUGAUUCUAUUCAGUUAAAAACUAUAUUUGCCCUCUUUCCUACCUUUUUCAUUAAUAUUUGUGAUGUUUAUAUAUAUACAUAUAUACUUCAAUGACAACGAAUCACUCUAAUGCUGGUUUUUUGAGUCUUGUGAAGCACAAUGUAUAAUGGAUAUGUAAUUUGGAAGCAGGAAAUUGCGUGGCAUCGACUUGACGACCUUCUACCUGUGAGUGAUGAUGUGAUAUCUCAUGGCAUCACCGGCCUUAAGCUUUACAUGGUGGCUCCUUUCUUGGAGUGAGCAGUUUUCUUGAUAUUUUCUGCACGCAGUUAGAAAUUGAUUUAUGUUUAAUGAAUUCGACAAUUUUAAAUUGCAGGUCAUUAAGAUCGUGGAUUUUGAAGCAUCAGCCACCCGUGGCUCCUAACUUUGACAUGCCUGUGAAAGGUAAUCUGUUAGCGACUUGCAUAUUCUUUAAAAGGGAAUUGGUAACGUAAGGAAAGUUUCCUAGGCAUAUGAACUAUCAAGAGUGGUUUUAUCAAGCAAAUGUAACCUUCAAAAUCAAAAUGGAAAACGAAAACAGGUAAAUAGCAACCUCAUGAAUAAUAUCUUAGAUGAAAUAUUGAAAAGAAGAAAUCGUUUUUAUUUGUUUGGAUUGAGUUUCCUAUUAUAUUAGGUCUCGUAGGAAAAGAAUGGAAGCAUACAUCUUCCAAGAGAUCUACUAGAACCAUGCCUGUUGGCGAGGUUCCAAAUUCUCGAUUCUAUUGUUGCCAUAGCCACGAUAUUAACAAGAAACCGACUCAGUUGGUGUGACUACAUAAUCCUUAAGUUACCGUCCAUCAAAGUUAUACGCAUUAUUUCUUUGUUGUAUUAAUCCGAGGUCUCAAACACAUUUUCUAUACUUUGCAAACCACUAAGCCUCUCAACUUUCUUGCAUUCUUCGCCAAUGAGCUCUAUUAACGCAGCUAUAAAUUGUUGCUUUCCACUCAGGAUUCACCAUGUGGAAGGUGAAGAAUACCUCGAUGAGCAAUAGCUCAAUCAUUUUCGACAACCAGCCGAUUAAAUUGGAUUCUGAUCCUGGAAGAAGCCUCAGAAACUUCAAAUUCGACACAGCCUCUAUCUUGCACGCUAUGGAAAGUGCUUUUGCUGCAUGAAUUUCAACAGGGAAUGCAUAUUGUCCAACUGACUGGUAGGCUCGGUUUCAUUUCGUUUUCUUUUUUUAUAAUUGUUGUGUAGUACAUUUAGGUAAUAUUGUGCAUAUAUGCCUAAUUUUGUUCUUGAUUUUAAAUGUAGAUCAUGUACAGACCCGUUUACAGAUUUUACUUAUCUGGUUUUUGGUUGUAUAGAAUAACAACAUAGGAGAUAUGAUUCUAACUCAAAGCACUUUGAAUAAUUCUAACUCACCACUCAUAGCUGGUGAUAUUACUCUUUUUCGUUUACCUUGAACCAUGUUUCAAAAGUUAUUUCUAGAGCCUAAUUCGGAUAAAAAUUAGGAAUGAUUUAGGUGACAAUGAUUGUGUAGCGACUGCCACAUUCACAUUGUUUUAGUGUAUCGUCGACUCAUGAAACGUUUGGCUAUCACAUUAGUCAAUAAUUACUAAACAUAUUACAUUGUGUGCUACUAAUAAGAAGUUUCAAGAUGAAUUAUAUCAUUCCUAUAAUCCAAUUUUCUUCAACAAGAUGACAUAUACAAAAUGUAAUUAAUUUGUUGUAUGAAUUAAAACCCUAAACCAAUAUUUAUACCAAUUUAAAUUAUAAGUCCUCACAAGUGAAUCGAGUUCAUCCUUUUGUUAGUAAUUUGUAGUUAUUUUCCUUCGAUUCCAUAUAACUUAAAAUUUUCUAUAUUACUUUUUUCCUAAAAAAUUUCUCAAAUUUAACCAAACUUGCCACUCAUAGUUUUAUCUAAUUCACAUUAAUCUUUAUACUAAAAAAAUUAUGCAUAUGAAAGUCAUACAUUAACGUUUAAAACAAAUUCUAACGACCAAUCUAAAUUUUUUUUUAUAAUUGUAAUUACCGCAACUCUACAACGAACCUAAACUAAAAGAAAAUCAAAUGGAUCGGAUAACACAUUAAAAAAGAUGAAAAAGAAAAAACAAAACGUGUAUUUGAGCAUUUUCUUUCUUUCUUUCUUUCUAAUUUUUUGCUUCCACAAAAAAAAAAAAAAAAGAAAAAAACGUGCCAAAUAAAAUAUUUCACCAUGUUUUUAAACCUUCCAUUUCUUAUUUCAAAAUUUUGAUUUUUGGUAAUGACUCUGAUCCUCCAGUCAAUGGACAUUAUUUCAAAUAAACUAUCACACUCAAUUAUUUCACCAAUUAUUUUCUCCAUUUACGUUCUGAAGUCAGACUUAUGACACCACAUUACUAAAUAUCUUCAUUAAUCAUAACUUUGCUUCGGAUAUUUUAGGAUCUCUUAUUCAAACCAAACAAAAAUCAGUGAUGGUUUUAGACUUUAAGAGUGGAAUUAUGGGAUGGAUGAUGAUAGCAAUAUAAAAUCAACCCACGGUUUUAGUUUAAAUUAAUUCAUAUGAUAUCAACUUAAAUUUGUAGACCUAACCAUUCAAAUUUCUCUACUUACAUUAUGUUGUUGUGAAAUUAAAUUAUUUUCAACUCCAGUUGGUUUAGAAUAAGAAGAUUGUUCCAUGGAGGCUAUGGUAAAUGCCAAAUGGAAAGUUAGAAACUUGUAAAACGUGACUUAAGAAAACAUUAGAAAAUGUUGAUAUUGACAUUGACAAAUUAUGAAAAAUUGAUGGUAAUUAGCCAUGCAUGCAUGAGUUUUUCCCAUUUCUUAAUGCAUUGUGUUUUUAAAUUUAAUGUUUUAUAUAAAUUUCAAAUAUACUUUUUUCAACAAUGGGUAAGAGAAUUCUUACAUUAGAUUAGAAAAGUAUUUCGUCUCAAUUCAAAAGUAUUGGCUAUUGAAUCACAUAUUAAAAAUAAGAAAAGUUAUUUUACAUUUAAAAACAUUUAUAAAAUAUCACAAUCAAUCUUUACAUAAAAUUAGUGUAUUUGUUAUAUUGUUAUGUUUUAGUUUAUUUUAUAAAUUUAAAAAUAGUCCUAAAACAAACCAACCUUUACGUCAAAACCACUAAGACCAUCGUAAAAAUUUACAUUGAACGUGGCGUAUACGAUGUAUCAAAAUUAAUUUGAAUAUUAGACCUUAACAACUGACAAAUAUUUAAAAAAAUUUACUAAAUACGCUAAUUAACAAAUUAGGUAAUUUGUGAUGAAUUUAGUCACUAGAUUAUUUAACGACCUAGUCUUUGUAAUUUUGUAAACAAAUUUUAUGUUUGAUACGUUUAUUUAUCAAUUUUAUAUACAUAAAAAACAUUGUCUUUCACUUUUCAAUUUAAACUUUUAGAUUAGUAAAUAAUUUAAAAAACAUACUUAAAAACAAUCGAAACUAGAUCGUUAUAAGGUGUGGUACAACAACCACGUAAGUCGAUAUUUAUCGAAGUUUAUGGAUUAAUUUGAUGUAUGUAUAUGUAUUAAUACAUCCAGAAAUAGCUGUCUAACUGAUUUUAGAAGGCUCUUCAUAAAAAAAAUGAUAUCAGAGAAGACAAAUGCAUAUGGUGAGAAUUAAGCAUUUGGAAUAAUAAUCACUUUCUAUGUUUUCUUGCUUCUCACUUCUUGGUUGGCACACCAUUAUAGAGAUGUUAUAUAUACUCAUUCAUUACAUUUCUUAUCUCUAAUUAUUAUAAUUUUUCCUCUUCUUCACCAUUACCAACGAAUUAUUCUUUUAAAUAAAAAAAAUUGUUCACUUUAAAGUAUUUCUUCAACAUGCAUAAUUAAAACAGUAUAAGAAAAUUGAAUUUUCGUUUUAUAUUUUAUGUACAUGUGCUCAUUGUGCCAAUAGUUUAUGAUAUCCCUAACACAUUGAAGGUUUUAGAGUAUUAUUAUUAUUAUUUGGUCCAAAGAUAUUUGAUAAAGUUUUUAAUAGACUUAUUGUAUUAAGUAGAGAUAUAUUUGUAAAUAUACAAAUAAAUAAUCAUACGGAUUUACAUAAAUGUAACAAAAUUAAAAAAAUAUUUACAAUCCGUAUAAUAAAAUAAAAAAAUUAGAAUGCACGAUCAUUUUUUUAUAAAUUUUAUUUAUGUUAUUUCAAUUUCGAUGUAAUUAAGGUAUGAGAGCGAAUAACUAAAGGUGAAACUCUGACGUAUAUCUCGGAGCUUUAUUGGUCGAAUUGAAGGACAAAUAGAACUUGAGUCAACUCGAGUAAGUUCUUGAGCAAAUUUGGGAACGUAGAAGGAUGUUUAAGAGUUCUCUGGCAAUCUCGGGCUUGAGUCAGACCAAUAUUGAAGGUAAAAGAGGAAAUCUGAAGGAUCUCAAGGCUAUGUCAUCCCUAUUUUGAUCAAGAGUAUCUACAAUAUCGUUCUAUACGGUCAUGUUCUUUCAUUCUAGAGGCAACUCGGAGCAUGGUAUGCUUGAGAUCAUGUAUUAAAAUCUACAUGAUCGUGUAUUGCGUGCGUGACACAUUUAUCGCAUGUUGACGGAUUAAUUUUGGUAUUUUACGUUGCGGAUAUUUUAUCUUUUUUUGAAAAAUCAUUAAUUAUACGGCAAAUAUUUUGUCCAACUAUUAUAAUUUUUUAAAAACCCAAAUAAUUAUAUUUAUAAGGAUAAUUAAUAAAGGAGGAUUAAAGGGAAGGAGUAAAAAUAAAUAAAUAAAAUAAAAAGGAAGUGAUUUGUUCCUUAGCAACUAACGCGCCACUCUCUUAAUAAACACUUUCUUAAUAAACACAUGAAAUACGAUCUUAUCAUGUACUAAAAAUUGGAUUCCAACAUUAAAAAAUGUAGAUGAAUUAUUGCAGACAUUUAUUUUUAAAAAAAAUUUAGAAGAAUAAUAAUAAGGUUGAAAACAAAAAUAAAAAAUAUUAUUGUAUCAUUAAUUAGCCACGUGAAAAUUAUUUCGCUCUGGCAAAGAAAAUAGUUGGCUCUGAUUUGUCUAGAAAUAAACAAUAUAUUUCGAAGAUUUUAUUUAUUUCAAAUAAAAACAUAUAUUACAAAGAUUAUUGGAUUAUUAUGAUUAUAUUAUAUGGUUAUGAUAUUUGAAUAAAUAAUUUGGAUAUUACUGUCCGAAUAUAAAGAUAUUACUAUUGUCCCAUUUGUACCUUAUAAUUUCUGCACUUAGCUGCAAAUAACUCAGUACGGACAACACCACAGGCUUUUCCAUCUUUCAAUAAACUUUUAAUAAUUGUUAACUUCUUUUUUCUUUUUUAUUGCCAAUUUCCGUAAUAUUUCUACUAUUGUUACUAUUUGGCAUGUAUGUAUAUGUGAUGCCAUAUUGCACCACUUUUAAAUAGUUAGAUGAAAGGUAUAAAUUAAUUCUUUUACAAAUAUAUAUAUAUAGGUUUUUAUCUCUUCCAUUCCACGCUGUUUUGAACGAAUUUUUAAGAAAAAAUUUCAUGUUAGGGAUUGUUUUAAUUGAGGGAAUUGGGAUAGGAAUGUAUGGAAGUACUCCAAAUAAUAAAGAUGGCUGGGAAAUAAGAAUGUAUGUGUUUGGCUGUGCAUCAAAAUGUAUAUGAGAGUAAAUUUUUUUACUGUUUUAUUUAUAAAGUUAAUCAUGAAAUUAAACUCUUUACUUUCCUUCUUUAUCGAAUUCGGAUAUCGUGAUUGUCCGAGAAUCCUAUACCUGAGAAGAAAACUUAUCAUUUUAGAUGAGUAUGGUUCGUGGAUAUAAACGAUGUAUGAAAAUAUGCGUAAACUAUAAACUUUGAACUAAAUAAGGGCAUGACUAUCUCACUCAUUUCCAUCCCUAUUCCCUCUAUCUAAAUGCCCUAAUGUUUUUUCCAACGAAGUAGGUGGGCAUUUGGUUUUAACUUUAUAAUUAAGUUGGUAAGCAUUUAAUUUUAUUUAGGGAGGGGGGUGAAGAGAGGAAAAGGCGCCACGUGUAGGGCUGGGGAGAAAUCAAAGCCGUCCACACGAAGAAGGAGUAGUCGAUGUUUGACUGAAGGGAUUGGUCUAGGAAAGCGUGUGUGUAUGUUGAGUGAAGGACGUGACGAUGACUCCUUUGGGAUAGAGGACAGUGUCCUUUCAUCUGGAGGGUUGCCGUACCCUUAUGAUCUCUUACGACUCAUCCCCCCAUACCCUCCCCCCCACCGGCCCCUACUCUCUUCAUUCUCCUUCGCUUUCCUGCCUCUCUCUCUCUCUCCCAUUGUGAUACCUUAGCUAACAUAUUUCAAGCCCGUGAUAUGGUUUCUUCGUCAUCUCCAUAUUUUGUUCCAACUGCCCAACACAGCAAUCUGGUUUUCAAACGCAACCAGACUCUUAAUGAUUUCAAACCCAUUUGCGAACAUACGUUACGUUGGUUUACAAAGUUUUUGAAACGUCACGAUUUAUUCUUUUAACUUUAGAACGUAAUUAUUCGAGUUACGAAACAGAAUGGAAACAAUUUAGUCACGUAAUUAUUCAAUAAAGUUUAAUGUAGACGUAUCUUACAAUUUAUGACGAUUUAGACUUUACUGAAUGUGAGUAUUACUAUGUUUAAUUUGAAAUAUUUUUUUACAUGUACACUAGAUCGAUCAAAUUUAUUAACAAACUAUAAAGCAUAAGUAGUUAUGCAGUCAAAUUUUGCCAUAUGUGUCAUGACAAUUAUUGACUCGUCUUAUGUAUACAUUUGAAAGCAUACAAGCUAAAUUGUUAUUGAUCAAAUUUAUGAAAAUCAAAGCAUUUUUUAAGCUUCAAACGUGUCUCUAACCGGGUUUAAUAAGUUGCUAAACACUACAUGACUUUCAAAAUUUAAAUGUUCGUAAAAUAAUUUUUUAUAAUUUUAAAAAUUCAUAAAUAUAUAAUCUAAUAAUGUUCAAGCGUGUCUAAGAAAACAUAAACUUAAAAAUAUCUAAUAAAUCAUGCAUGAGACAACACGUACAUAGUCUCUAACACCUAAUAGAACGACGUCUUUGACUUUGAAUUUGUGAACUUUCGAUAUUAUAUAAGUGUUCAACGUAUUAAAGUUUAACUUUUAUUCAAAAGAAAAAUAAAAACAACUUAAUCCAGCGAAAAAAUUUAGUAACACAAAAAAUAAUUAUCGGUAUUGAAUGAUAAAUCAUAGUUAUUCGAAAUAGGUAUAGUAUAAUAAUUAACGUAGAUUUUAAAGAGAAUGUGUCAACUAAAUAGGAACAUUAAAGAAUGCAUUUAUAUAUCAACUUAUGAUUGGGUUUAGGGUUUAUUUCCAACUUAUAAAUUACUAAGAAGAAGAAUUAAGUUUAGUAGAUAAUUAUCCUAACAAAUAAUUUAGAAAAAAAAUAUUAAACUUACACAAAUAAGAAGUUAACUAUUUUUGCAUCUAAAAAUUUUAUGAACAUUUUUUACAUAUACUAAAGUGCACAAACGUGGUUGUUUGUAAAAUUGAAAAGACUUUUUAAGUCCAUAGUCUCAUAAUUGUCAAAAUCAAAAUUAUUGAACACUUUUAAAUUUUCAAGAAUCUUUUUGAACACAUUAAUAAUACUUUUUUUUUUUAUUAUUAAAAUUUGAAAAUCUAUAAGAUACAUUAUUAUAUGAAAUUAAAAAAUGGAUGAAAUAAAACCUGUAAUAUUUAACUUACAAAAUAAGCCACGAAAAAUGAUACUUAGCUUAUAUAAAAUGGAAACUAAUUUUUAAACAAUAUAAAUUUUGAUUUCCAAAGAAGAAUAAUUAAAAGAAAAAACACAACGUAGAAAAUAAUAAAUUACUUCAACGACAAUACACGCCCAUCCCUCCCCAUAUAAAUCCCCCACACUCCUUCCUCUAUUCCUCGCUCAAACCUCUUUCCUCUUCUCUCCUCUCCUCUCUUUCUAUUUACUCUCUUUGCUCCCCUAUGGCCAAAGACGACGUCACGACGGCAAGAGGGUUCUCCGGCAAGGACUACCACGACCCUCCUCCAGCCCCGCUCUUCGACGCGGCGGAGCUAGGCAAGUGGUCCUUUUACAGAGCCAUCAUUGCUGAGUUCAUUGCCACUCUUCUUUUUCUCUAUGUCACUAUCUUGACUAUUAUCGGCUACAACAGCCAGACCGAUACCGACAAGCCCGGCGCCAACGCUUGCGAUGGCGUUGGCAUUCUCGGCAUCGCUUGGUCCUUUGGCGGCAUGAUCUUCGUCCUUGUCUACUGCACUGCUGGCAUUUCAGGUUCGUUAACUAUAUCCUGAGCGUGUAACUACGUGAUUAACGAUUUUACAUCUUGGUCGUUACAUACAUAUUCUUACUUUGAGUAAAGAAAGUAAGGGAUACCAUUAUAGCCGCCAUUUUGAUGUAAAAAACGUAGUUUGUUAGAUUUUUUUUUUUUUAUACAAAUUGAGAAUAGUAGAAUUUGAACUCUAGACCUCUUCUCGACCCCUCUGGUUCUUACGUUAAGCUAACAGUUUAGUCUUGUUGGCUAGUUUGUUUGAUUUAAUAUGGAAGAGAUGUUAAACAAAAUAGCUUAUUUAGUAAAAGAAGAAUUUUUUCUUUCAAAAUCUACAUAUUCAUACAUUAUUGGUAAUAAAAAUAUAGUUUAAAGUCUGGGAUUUAUUCUUCCUAUAUGGGUUUGAAAAGAGAAGCAGAAUACAUUUUUGUAAUUUCCUAUAUUAUUUUCUAGGUCCCUUCCUGAUAAAACAUUGAAAUAUUUCUUCACAGAGCAGAGAUCUUUAAUAUUUUACGCUGUAGAUUUUUUUAUUCCUUCAUUUAAUGAGACAGUAUUGAUUAUUAUACAUAUAUACAAAAACAAAUCAGAUCCCAAUCAAAAUCAAAAUAUUUUUUUGCCAAGUUUAAUGGGUGAUUUUCUUAAAAAUGAUUAUAAUAUUUGUGGGGGAAAAUGAACUGCAGGAGGGCACAUAAACCCGGCGGUGACGUUCGGGCUGUUCUUGGCUCGUAAAGUGUCGUUGGUGCGAGCAGUAGCGUACAUGGUGGCUCAGUGUUUGGGGGCCGUUUGCGGUGCGGGGCUAGUAAAAGCCUUCCAAAAGGGUUACUACAACAAGUACGGUGGCGGUGCGAACCAACUCGCCCAUGGCUACUCCAAAGGCACCGGUUUAGGAGCUGAAAUCGUUGGUACCUUUAUCUUGGUUUACACCGUCUUCUCCGCCACCGAUUCCAAGAGAAAUGCCAGAGACUCCCAUGUUCCUGUACGUUCACUUCUUCCUCUAGUCUUUUAAAAUUUCCACUCUAGUCCCUCUAACAGUUUUGCUUUUCAAACAUGUCCACUAGAUAGGUUGGAUGCUUAAUUCAUAAUUAAUCUUAACUUGUGUGUUUAUAUUUUUAAAGCUAAUGGUGAGCAUGCAUUAAUCUACAAGCAGGGUAUAGCUAUGCUGAAUCUCUUUUUGUUUGAAUGUACCCAUUUGUCUUUGGGUUUUUUGUUUGCUAUUUUGAACUUUAUGUUAUUAUUAUAUAGAUUUUGUUUUUAGUAGUACAGAACUGCUACCCUAUUCUAUUAUUAUUAAAUAAUUUACAUAUAACAUAUUUGAUAUUCACUGUCAUAGUUUAUUUUUAUUAAUAAAACAAAGAUUCAAAUCAGUUUCAAAGCCCAUCAGCUCAUCUGCUACUUGUGGUGGCUAUAAAUAUCAGUUACUGCAAUUUUUUACUUUAAUACUAAGCAGCAAUAAAACUAAAAAACCAAAACAAUAAUUUUUAAAUUUUGCUCACCCGAUUAGAAAUGGCUUUGAAACUAAGAAAAAUAUCAAUGAAUAUAAUAGAAACUUGAAAUCCAAAGUUGUUGAAUUUAUACUCUAAGAUAGAGAAGAAAAAUAGUUUAAAAUUUCCGAGAUCCUAUAAACUCCAAAAAACUCUUUAUUUGUUUCCCAAGAAAAUAAUGAUGCUAUCAAAAUUUUCCAUAUGUUGUGGCCCGAUGCUUUCUUUCUAAGGGGACGUGGCUUUUUCUUUCCCCAUGUAGGAAUAGCAUUGAAUGUGAGUUCUGAUGUAAUAAAGCUGUUUUAAAUCUUAGGCACAUCAGCAGCGUGGGCAUUAAGCCCCUUCCCUUACCAUUCUUUGGUCACCUUUCUUUGAACACGUCAUAAUAUUCUUUCCCCAUUUUAAAAGAAUUACCUCUUUUCUCCAUCUUCCCCUUUUCAAUUCCUCUCUCUUUACACUUUCCUUUUGUUUGUUAUUUUCACUUCCAUCUAAACUAAAUCCUUAUUAUUCCUCCCACAUGCCUGCUACGUCAUUAUCCUCUCCACCCACCCUUCUUCCCUAUAUUACACAAACUACCCAUCAACUUUGCCUUUCAUCAUAUCAGUAGGUUCAAAUUAUGUUCCACUGAAGUAAAAACAAUGAAGAUAUAUGUUUAAAAUGAACACAACAAUGUACUAUUGUAGAGCUAGGUGAAUGAAUAACGUAACCAUGUUGAAAUCUCCUCAAAUGUAGAAAUUUAUGAACUUCAUCUCUUUUGUUUUAAAAGUUGGGUAGAUAUCAAAACAUGUUACAUGAUAUUGUAACUUUUUGUAAGAAGAUAGGAUAUUGUUUUAAGCAAUACAAUGGGUAAACUUUAGGAGUAUCUUUAGGUAAUUAUUGGGUUUUUUUUUAAAAAUUGUACUUGUAAUAUAUAUUAAAAUACUGUUGGUUGGGGUUUCACGAGACUGACUUUUCACCCUUCUGGCUGUGCAUCAACUCAUUGAAAAAAAAGGAGGGUUUGUUAGAGAUCUAACUCUUUAAUGUCACGUUUUCUUGUCUUUUUACUUUUUGCAAGUUUUGGUUACAAAUGAUUCACUUUUUGACUCAUCUUAUCACCUUUUUUUUAUUAGUCAAUGUUUUUAACUUUCCAUUUGUUUUUUCUUUUGUUUCUAUUCGACUUAGCUUUGAAUUUAUGUGUUAUUUGUCUCUUCUCGAGAUUCGUCAUUAGAUUCUUCUAUCUAAAACCAUUCUUUGCUUUCUUUUUCCUUUUCGUUUAACUGAAAUUGAAUGUGUAUAAAUUUUCAUCAUUUUCUUCUUGAAUUCAAAUGUCUGUCUCUUUGGCCUUUGUUCUUCCUUACACUACAUUAUUUUAAUUAAGUUAAUGAUUUUCAUUUUGCUUUAAAUAAUAAUAAUUAUAAUACAAAAGGUAUUGGCUCCACUCCCAAUUGGGUUUGCUGUGUUUAUGGUUCACUUGGCCACCAUCCCCAUCACCGGCACAAGCAUCAACCCUGCAAGAAGCUUCGGCCCUGCUGUUAUCUUGAAUAGGGAAAAACCUUGGGAUGACCAUGUGAGUAUCUCCCUCUCCCUCUUUCUCUCUCUCUCUCUCUCUCUCUAUAUUUAUAUCUUCUUUAAACGAUGUGUUAAUGGGUUGGGCUUCUGUGCAGUGGAUAUUCUGGGUUGGGCCAUUUGUGGGAGCGGCCAUCGCAGCGUUCUACCACCAGUUCAUCUUGAGGGCGGGCGCGGCCAAAGCUCUGGGCUCUUUCAGGAGCAACCCCUCCGUCUGAUCGCAUUCCAUAAGCAAAAGACACUUUUAAAGCCUUUUUUUUCUUCUUCUUUUUAUUUAACUUUUUGUUGGGGCCAAUUGUUUAAAAAUUGUUUGUUUUUCUUUCUUUUUAGUAUUUAACUUUUUAAGUUUGUUGUAUUGUAAUUUGUAAUGUAACCACUUGGCUUACUAAUGUUCAUUUUUUAGGCCCUUAUUAUCGUUGUUGGCCAACAAUCCUAUCCCUAUGUUACUUAGUGUGUUAAUAAUUAUUUGUGAAUCUUUCAUCAUUAUAAGGUUGCUAAAGUUUAUAAUAUAAUCCCACUUUAUGUAACAUUCUCAUAUUAAUAUGAGACAAUGUAUUUUCAACAUUUAUUCUGAAACUAUAAAUUUGUGACACGUUUUAAUCGUUGCGAAUGUUAUUGAUUAACUCUAGCGGUAAUGACAAAUCUAUAAAUUUAAUAUCGAUAAUAAUGGUGAAAAUUUCAACUUCAAUCUAAUUAACCACCAUUUAUAUCUCAGUAAGAUUACAAAUGGUAACUUCACCAAAUGGAAGAGAGAAAGAAAAAGAAAAAGGAAAUUUAUGACGGGGGAAGGGUUGAAAAUCUGCCCUAUUUUAAACCAAAGUACAAAUAAUAAAAUUGAAAAUAGAAUUCCAGUUUCAUUAUUCGUUGUUCAUCCCAAUCGAGAGAGGAAGAUGCAUCUAUGGCCUUCAACGAGAAUCAGAGACUCUUUCAAGCACGCUUACAUCAAAAAGCUGGAAUGGAACCUCCACAGAAUGAAAAUCCAAAAGCAUCAGCACCAAUCUUCUAGCAAACAGAACUUGUUGGAUAAAGAAGAAGCAUCUGAUGCUGCUGACGCCGAAACUUCAGAACCUUCCCCUUCAGUUUCUUUUGGUCAACGAGUUCUUGAAUUCUUCUCAGAACUCUUUCAUCUUCUUUCCUGUUGUUACUGCUGUUACUGCUGCGGAGGUGAUUAAUUUUUCUUUCCCCCCUUUUCAAAAUCAUCUUCUUAUGAAACUCGACUUGCAUAUACAAUUUUCGGAUUAGGUCCUAACUUUAAGUUAAGGAGAUGAUUGAUCUUGAAUUUUGGGUUUAAAAUGUCUAUUUAAUUUAUUUUUUUACAAAAACUUAGUACCAACGGUGGAUUUUUAAUUGAAAUGAAAUGAUCGCCCAGGAAAAUAGAGGAAAAUCCACACCGGUGUGGUAUUGGCCACCAACACUCUAACAAAGAAAUUAGUUAUCGCUUAGAGAGUAUAGAAUUCCAGAUGUAUUUCAGUUGUCGAGAGCUCUCUUAGUUAUAUAGAACUAAGUUUCAUAAUGGCCCUUAGUUAAUUAACUUUCGAGUACUUAAUCAAGCCGUUACCAGCUGUGUAAAUUAUCGGAUUGAUUUCACUAGUAACCCAUACAUGUACCAAAGUAGAACAACAUAGUCUUUAUCUUGGUAGAGUUGGCCUCCGUGCUUAGGUACUAUGGCUUUAUCGGAUUGAUUUCAUAAUGUGAUCAUUCCAUUUCUGCCAAGAAUUAAUGUUCACGGUUGGUAUCAAAUUUCGGUACCAACAUCUAUGAUAGCUUUAAUAGCCUGGGGUUGAGAGUUUUGGUUGCAUUUCGGUAUUGUUAAGAGUAUACCAAGAAGAAUAAAUUUGAUAUAGUUGGAUUAAGUUGUUGAGCUGAAUAGUGAUCUAACAUAUAGAGAGCAGGAAGGCAAGUACAAACUGUUAGAAUUAAUGGGAAUUCGCCCAGGAAAAGAUUUACCCUAAUUUGCUUUCCUUUUUUUUUUUGUUAAGCCUGUUGUCUAUUUAUUUUUCCCCUUUUGUAUCUUGGAUCGUGGUUUUCCUUUUGGUACUCAAGUUUGCAUGUAACUCAGUGUCUAUUUUCUUUUACCGGAAUUGUUUUCUGAUUAGUUCACCUGUUGGCUUUUGCUAAUUUUAGUUCACAAGUAAGAGUAAUACAAAUGCCAUAGCUUGAAACUGAUGUCAUAGUUCUUAAAAUUUAGUUUUGCGGUUUAGAGGAGAGGUUUUCAUUGCUUCAUGAUGUUUCUUGCAGUUUUUCAUUUGCAAUCUAGUCUAGGGACUAGGAAGCUUUGAAGGCUUUAAAUGAUACGUUUUGAAUAAAACUUAAUUCGAAAAAUUUGCAUUGAAACAAGGACUUUGAGCAUUCAAAAAGUUACUUCAAACAAGCUCUUAGUUUUCUGAAACGAAAAGGAGGAAAACAUUGUCUAGUUCUUAGAAGUAGAAAAUUUCCAACAGUGUCUUACUAUUUUUUCUUGAUUAAAGAGCUGUUUAAGAUUCUAUUCCUUCAAUGAAGUUCCAUCUUAUACAUGUUCGAUGUCAUGAACAAUUGUCUAUUGGGUAAUAAAGUUUCUGUUGGGUUGAUGGAUUGCUAAAACAUCUAGAUCCUUUGAAUUGUAAUUACUAAACUAUUACUAGAUCUGACAACUUAAAUUGAUGCUUGUUGGUUUAAAAAUCAUAUGAAACCCAACAAAUGAUUGCCAACAUUAUUGGAGAAGAAUUUUAGUUGUUCAAAGUUUGAACUAAACUUUUUUGCUCAAAUACCAUGUUGAAUUAGCACUUGACUUGAUGUAUACACACACACAUCAUAUAUAUUUUUUUAUCCAGAUGUUAAUAUUCCCAAGGGUCACGAUACUUAAAGUUCGUUUUCUCUCUGAUAGUUGAGAAUGAUUCUUUUUUCAUGAUUCAUCUGAGAUGAUUCCUUCUUCUUAGAUCUCUUUCAACUGGGUAUUAUAGUUUUUUUAAAACUAAUUUGGUUAUAUUGCAAAUUUGGUCCUACAGUUUGUAAUUAGAUUUUAGUCCAUAUGAUUUGCAAUUUAACCAACCAAAGCUUAAGGACUAAAUUCUAACUUUCUCUAUACCGUAGUGGCCAAAUUUGCAAUUUAACCUACCAUAUUUGUUUGGCCUGCAUAAUUCAUAACAAUAACAUUAUAUUAUAACUCAUAUUGCAAAAGUCUCGAGUUAUCAUUAACAGUUAUUUCUUGAACUUGCAUCUUUCAUUAAGCACCCAUUUGUGGCAAGCUAGAGACGGUUUUCUCAUUACAUUCAUUUUCUAUUAUGAAAAUUUUAUUCAUUUUAAGGAAUAUAGAGAAUUCACAAUAGAAAUGUUACAAACAUUUGACAUAAGCUCAUGCUUGUGCAGCUUGCCUCCCCGACGAAGAACAUUAAUAUUGAUGAAGAAUAGAAGCUUGGAAUUGAUAAAGAUAGCUGAUUGAUGCAGAUGAUAUUUACAUUAUGUGUACUGUAUAGUAAUCUUAGCCAUUUACAGGUAAUUCUAGCAUUAUGAACACUGACACAUAUUGAUGUCCUUUUCUUUCAUUAGGUUGAAGAUAUUGUUAAACCGAUAACAAUAGUAUAUACUCAUCUUGGAUUUAGAAGCUGCCUACAUAGCUCAAUUCGUCUAGACACAUGCUCUAAAAAUUAAAGUCUCUCUCAAACAUUCGUCUUCUAUUUUGGUAAAAGCUAGAUUUGGAAAAUCUUCCUAAAUAUAAAAUCAUCAGGUACGGUAUUAAGUAUAUAAGACCUUAGCAUGGCUUAAGAAGUUCAUAGUCACCCUUCACAUCGUGGUCGAUGUGAAGGGUAUAUACUCUUUUCCAAAAUGUAUAUGAGGAAGUUGGAUUUUGGACUUGGUAGAUUCAACAUACCUUCAUCCAAACUUCAAAGUCACUAUCCAAACCAUUGGAAGACCUAACACAUUAUUUUCGUCCAGUUUUAGGCAGGUCUAAACAAUGAACUUCGUGCCUUGAAAUGUAAGCUGAACAAACUUUGCACCAUGGUCGUGCCUUGAAAUGUAAGCUGAACAAACUUUGCACCAUGGUCGUGCCAUUAAGAAUGAAGAAAUGAAAACGCCAAUUUAUCCUUCCUAUCGAUGUCAAACUAACGAAAACUGUAAAAAAUUAUCAAUUGACUAACAUUGUGACCAUAAAUUUGGGUAAUAUAUUCAGUAAUUUUUUUACAUGAAAAUUAUUUGUAUGAUUUAUUAGAAGUAAAGUAAUAAUAAAUGCGGACAGUGUUCUUAGGCAGAAGUAGAACACCAAAACGCAAACAAUUAAAAGAAUCCCCAACCACUUCCCAUACCCUCAUUAACUACCCAAUGCCUCAUCACUUUCACUCCCCAUUCCUAAUUUUCCCUCCACGCAACCUUUCAUUGUGAACUGAAAAUCUCCGACUGCCAAAUGGUUCACCCGGUUGAAGACGCCGAUGAGCAGAGCCCCUUCGGCUCUCUCACCGCCGAUGAGUUCUAUGCUCGUCAUUCUGUGACUCACGGCUCCGAAUUCAUCACCAAUUCCAGGGGCCUUAAACUAUUCACUCAAUGGUGGAUCCCUCAACCUCCGGUCAACCCAAUAGGUAUCAUCGGCAUCGUCCAUGGCUUCACCGGCGAAACUAGCUGGUUCAUACAACUUACCGCCGUCCACUUUACCAAGGCCGGAUUCAUCACUUGUGCCAUUGACCAUCAAGGCCAUGGAUUUUCCGAAGGCCUUCUGUAUCAUAUACCUGACAUUAACCCCGUUGUUGAAGACUGUAUUUCCUUCUUCGAUUCAUUCCGUGAGCGUCACGCGCCUUCGUUACCUUCCUUCCUCUACUCGGAGUCCUUGGGCGGCGCGAUUGCUCUUCUAAUCACGCUCCGUCAGAAAUCGACGACGGAGAACUCACGACCGUGGAAUGGCGUUGUUCUCAACGGCGCGAUGUGUGGAAUCAGCCCCAAGUUCAAACCACCAUGGCCAUUGGAGCACUUUCUAUCUUUAGCUGCCGCUUUGCUUCCGACUUGGCGCGUGGUUCCCACCCGCGGAUCAAUACCGGAUGUAUCUUUUAAAGUGGACUGGAAACGGAAGCUUGCAACGGCGAGUCCCCGACGCGUGGUGACGCGUCCUAGAGCAGCGACCGCGCAGGAACUUAUGAGAGUGUGCAGAGAGUUGCAGGAGAGGUUCGAGGAGGUGGAGGUUCCAUUACUGAUAUCGCACGGCGGCGACGAUGUUAUCUGCGAUCCGGCGUGCGUGGAGGAACUAUACCGACGCGCCACCAGUAAAGAUAAGACGCUGAAGAUAUAUCCAGGUAUGUGGCAUCAGUUGAUUGGCGAACCUAAAGAGAAUGUGGAGCUUGUGUUUGGGGAUAUGGUUGAGUGGCUCCGGAGUAGGGUUCCUGGGGAUGCUUCUAUCAUGGCGGCCGGAGGAGAGUGAUCCACCGUCGAACCACAAUUAUGUCAAUCUAACGUUGCUUUUCAAUAAAUGUUGGUUAGUUUUGAGGGUUUUGACUCCAAAUUUCUAGUACUACACAAUUACCUUCGAAGAUUGCACAAGUCACCACAAAUAAAUCAAUAGCUUAAUAAUACAUCAAAUAAUAACCUAUAGUUGCAAAUAUAGGAAAAUCUGUUAAAGUUUAUUAAUACUAGAGGAAAAUAUGACAUAAUAGACGACAAUAUGACUUAAUAGACGACAAGGGUCUGUCAGAAUUCAUAUAGAUUUUGCUGUAUUUUGAUAGCUACGAUUAUGUUUUUAACUCAUUGACCAAAAUCUAUCUAUUUCUAUCUUGGAUGAAAUUUAAAAUUUUGUUUUAGUUUGUAAAUAAUUUAAUUUAUUAUAAUAUUUUAAAAAAUGUCUCUAAUUAUUAUUCAUAAAAUUGCCAUCAAUUUUAAUUACCUAUAAUUUUUUUCCAAACUUCUUACCAAUUACCACUUGCUAAACAGAAAACAUUUAAUUAGUUAGAAGAUUGCCCUCAAAAUCAAGGGAUGGAUGGUUUAGUAAUUAUAUUGAUUAUCACUUUAAAGAUAGGUAAAAUGUUUGUUCGUUGAUUACUUUUUAUCUUUAUAAUUUCUUAAAAAUUGUAUUUAUGUUAUCAUAUUAGACAUAUUUCUAUCUCGUAAAAUUGAAACCUCUGACAAAUUUGAUUGAAUAAUAGUUUGCUAUUAGUCUAUAAAUCUAAAUCUAUGAUUUCUAAACAUUUGUCGAAUGAAAACAACAAAAAACUCUCUUUCAAAGUUGUGCAAAACGCUGCCGUUUGAAUUUGAUGGAAUACGAAACGCGACCAUUACGGUAGCCGUGAGGCUAUAUAUAGUGGCAAUAGCGGGAACUUGGAAGCAAGCUGAAGGUGUCAAAAUUUCGCGCGAAGAAUCGGUGGUUCUUUGAAAUUGCUCGAGAAGAGUAGGAUCACAUCAUGCUUUCAACUACAUGUAAGAUCUUUCUUUCCAAUUAAUUUCACGAGUCAGUGGUUUUCAUUCCAGAGAACUUAAUCGCUUCUUCUUUAUCUGAUUUCUAGUCACGGUUCGAUGUUAAACUUUUUGAUUCCUCGAUCAGACUAGAUUAGGUUUCUAAGUUGAUUGAUAUGAUUCAUCCGUUGCCGAUUGGUUUUGGCUUUAAAUAUCUAGCUGGGUUUUAUUAGAAUACAUUUUGUAAGUAGUAGGUAUUAUUUUGAAGACAAUUUUAGAGUGGACGGUAGUUUUUAUUGAUGUGUGCAUUGAAUAGUUAUUCGAACAUGUGACUCGAUGAUCUUCGACGGUGGUUGCUUGUUUAUUACUGUAUGUAUAUUUGGUGCGAUCCGCUUUACUUUACAGCGAUCGGUGUUUUGAGUUACUAUCUGAAGAACUUCUCAUGCGACUAGUCUUCUUUGGAUUUCAUACUUCCUCGUAUUCUUCAAUCUUAUGCAAUAUGGUUUUAGUAUUUUCCUGAUCUAUAGAAUAUUAUGUUUGGUAAUCUUGUUAAUUUUGUUUUUACAAAAUAUUUAUACAGCCAGGGAUCGAGUUGCCACUGCUUUAGCUAAACAACAUUUUGACUUCGAUUAUUAUAUGCAAUUAAAAGUGCUCUGGCAGUAAUAAAAUUCCUCUAUGCCUUUAAUGUAACGCUACAUCAUUUCUUAUUAAUUUUCAAAGUUGUAGGAAUCGUCAUUUUCAAAACUUCCGUAUGUAAUUGUCUUUUUUCGUAGUCUUAAUUUCAUGUAAGUCUAAGUGAUCAUUCUUUAGUAAUUUGUGUAUUCUGUAUAAACAUUCUGAAUUAUUUACGUUUAUGGAAUGAUUGAUUUGUUAUACCGUCCUGAGUUGUCAAGAACUGGUACACGGCUAAUAAAAACUUUUAUAUCCUCAACUUACUCCAUCUUCUAGAUCCAUAAAAAAUAAAUUGAUGUCUGCAUAGUGAAGAUUACUAUUUUUUUUGUAUAAUAAUUGGUAAUUGCAGUGUGAAUACUCAUAAGUCCCAACUAAUUUUCUAAAGGUGAAGUUUCUCCUUUCCCAGAAGUAUGGCUCGAAAUUUUUGUUUACAUAUAUCACCAAAGUUCGUUAAACGUUAGUUAGCAAUCUCGUUGUUGCUGAAUUCUAUGGAGAGACAUAGGUUACACAUCAGAGCUUGUAUCUAACUUUACAGGUGGUGUACAAGCAAUUACCGGUACCUCCUCCGCGAUUGACCUAAGAAUUUCCGAGACCUGCACAUUGAUAAAAAGAUAGCAGCUAAGAUUGAUGCAAAGUUAUUUGCUAUGAGAUUGGUACAAAAAUAUGAGGAAAAAAACAGACAUGCAGAGAUAUUACAUCAAAAUAUUGCUGCAAAGCUGGUGAUUGUUGAUUUAGAAUUGAGUAUAUCUUCUCAAUCAAGCUAAGAAGUAUAUCCACUUGAUCCCCUAAAAUAUCCACCUAAUGGAUAUCAAAUAGGAAUGUGGAAAAACAAUUAAAUGACAGAAAAUUAUUCUCAAACUUGGCUGUACAACGAGUGAAAAGCAUCAGUAUUAUUAGAAGUUGAGAACAGAACCUCAUUUUCAGCUUUUCUGAGAUUUUGACAUCUUCUGAUGAAAGCCUUCUUAUAAAGUGAUUUAUUUUCUUGCAAAGAAGCCAUGACUUGAGGCAGUGGAUCCAAAGUAUGCUUCAUUUCUUCUAAUCUAUCAAUAGUAAAAUGAUUUACAUUUAUGCUUUUGUGGAACUAAAUUUAUCAACAGGCUUCUUUUUUUUUUUUUCAGGGAAGAGGCAGGAAAGACCUAUGAGGUUAGUACCUAAGCAUUAUUGCUUCCAGUUUUCUAUUUGCCAUCAGCUCAAAUUCAUAUGUUAUAUGUGGAAGCUCCAUAAGUUUUAGGGACUUAGAAUCUGACUUGUUUAACUCCAUAUUGUGAAGUUCUAAGAUGGAUGACUUCUUUAUUUUGCAUUCCUGCAAUCUGUGUAAUCCUAAGUCAUUUAUAGAGCAAUAAUCUUCCAUUGUCUCCUUGAAGACAACAUGAUAUAUAUCAUCUUUAAUUUUGGCUUCAAUAUGGUUACUUUUCAUGGUUUCAUCCAACUGAUUGAACAUAUUCCUGAUGAGAUCUCUGCAUAUUCCAUCUGAAAUCAGGAUCUCCAAUUCCCAGGUACUUAAAUCAUCACAAAACUUUUCUCUCAACCCUUGAAAUAAAGCGAUGUAAGUUUCUUCCUUCAUUAUGUUUUGAAAUUCUCUUUCCUCUCUUUCUUGCCUUAGCGCGCAAAUUUGAUUUUGUAUUCCGCUGUUUUCUUCAUCCUGCAGUUGAUGCAUCUUCCCCCAGACAUCUGCCAAAGUAUCCACAUCAGAUUUCUGUCUAUGAUUUUCUACAAAUAUUUGCUCCCCUUUCUCUGGAGGUAUGUCUUCUUCAUUAAAAUCCUCAUUUUGGUCUAUAAUUUUGUUAACCGUAGCAUUCAAAAUCAUCGAAUUCUCUAGUUUCUCUAGUAUUUCUUGGAACCUUCUUUUGAAGCUUUCAGUACUUUCUUCUCUCCUUAAUGAUAAUGAAGUUUUAUCAUGAAGCUUUUCUGGAUUCCAUUGAUCCGGUUCUGCUUCUUUACUCUUUUUCUUAAUAAUUGACUCAAAAUUCAAAAUGUUGCACUCUCGGGACCGCAUUUCAUUUUGGCCAAGAACAGGUUUGAGAUCCUCAAACAAGCCUAUAACUUCAUUCAUUAAAUCCGACCACCAUUUGUUUGCCGAAACUUGCCUCUCUUUCCUUGUCACUUCUGCUUCUAUAUCCUCUUGACAAUCAUUCACAAAUCCCUUAAGCAGGAUUGAUAUUAUGUCGUUCUCAAUACUUGACUUUACUUGCUGCUCUAUUGCUCCUAUUUCAGAAAUCAAAAUGGCACUGUGCAUCUUUCCAAACGCAAUAUCAAGAGUUUCCUUCAAAAUAUCGAUGUCAGAUCCCAUCUCUUCAACUCUUAUUACGUCGUUGAUACAACGAUUUCGUUUGGUCUUCACCUUAUGCUCAUAAUCAUCAUUUAACUCGAUUUUUUCUUUCACUUCACCCAAUUCCCCAUCUCUAUUCUCAUCAUCCUCACCUUCAUGUGGGCUAAGGUUGGAACUUCCAGCACUUCUUGAUCUUUCAAGUUCAAGAUCUUCCUGUGAAGAAACCAAUUCCCUCUCUGUAAUUUCCAAAGCCUGCCUUAACUUCACCUCGCUCUCGGAUCGAUCUGCCAACUCUCUAUCUUUCUGUAGGAUGGCAAGUUCCGAUUCGUAGAGGCGUCGUUGAAGGCGGUUUCGUAUUUCGGCCAAGCCAGCAAGAACUUCUUCAUGGCUGGUUUCGGGAUUGUGAGUGUCAGUUUCUUCUUGAACAAAUUUGAUACAACCAUCCAAUUGCAUUACGGAUAACUCGUAGAAUUUUGAUAUCUCAUGUAAUCUCUCUAUAACUCCUUCUCUAGAUUUGACUCUUUGGUGAGCUUUAUCCAUUGCACGAUGCACAAUCAACAUCAUGGUUGAAUCUACUAUUGACAGUUUGAAACUGCCAUCGAUCAUUCCAAAAAUUCCAUCCAUGUUUAAUUUCCUCUCUUGAAAAUGAAGGCUACGAAGAGGAAAAAAAAAGACGGUAUGUCAAAUUAAUUCUAAAGUACGUCAAAUUAGUUCUAAGGCAUUGUUCAUAUGUUGGCUUAAUAUGUGGAUUGCAUUGACAUUAGGGAGUUCUUGGGAAUAGGCGAAUUGGAAGGAUUGAGAUCCUUCAACUUAGCUUUAGAGAAACAAAUGGUAGGAAAGGCGAAGCAACCCUUUGACUAUUUAGGGCAUGUUUGGAAUUGAUUUUAAAUUGAUUAAAAUCUAUUUUCAAAAUUGCUUUUAAAUUAUUUAAAAAUUAAUAUUAAGUUGAUUUUGAUUGGCUAAAAACUUAUUUCCAAAUGUUUUUAAGCACACAAAAGUGAAUUUAACCGUUUUAAAAUAGAAUUUGUCUUUGAUAACUAAUUUUAUUUUGUUUAUCUAAAGUGUUAUUUUUUUAAAUGAUUUUUUUUGUUGAAAAAUGAAUUUUCAAACAUUGUAAUAUUUAUUAGGUAAAUACGUUUAAGUUUCAUUUUUUUAGAUUAAUUUUCAUAAAUAUAACGAAACACCAAAAUAUUCGGUAACAAAAAAACAUGAAAUCGAUCAUUUUUUUAAAACUUUAGAUUAAAAAUCAUGAAAUGGGUCAUUUUUACUCUUUCCUUUCCAUCUUCUUUCUUCCCUCCUUUCCAUCAAUUUCAAUUUUAAAUGUUGUAUUUUUUUUAGUGUUAUUUGGUUUUUACCAUUUUCAUCAUCGUGUACCAAAUAUAAAAACAUCAAUUGUUUCGUUUAGAUUUGCUAUCUAAAUGUAAUGAAAGAAUCUUGAAAUCUCAAAUCUAAACUCACAAAAAUCUUUUAAAAAAUCGUUUAACCAAAUCUAAACGAUUUAUCAAGAAUCUUGAAAAAAAUCAUUGUGUAGUAAAUAUAUUGUCGGUCAAUUAAUCCCACUCUUCAUUGUUUUCGAAAUUAGCUUGUUUUGAUAUUUGUAAAAGAGUGAUAAAUUGUGUUAAACACUAUUUGUCUAUUUAAAUAUUUUCAAAUAGCAAAUUGACCAUAAAAUUAUUUGGUCCCUUUGCUAUAUUUAUUUCAAUAAAUAAGUUGGUAUAUAUAUAUAUAUAUAUGAAAAUAGGAAAACAAAAAAAAAAAGUACAUUUAGAUUUUUAAAAAAUUACUAGAAAACAGCUGUUUAAUUGGCUGUUUCGACAUAAAGUACUAAAAGGCAGCCGGCUAAGCAGAGCAAAAAUUUGAUCUGCUCUGGCUAUUAAUAAUCUUUGUUCGAUAAAAGUAAAGUUGUGAAUGCUAAUUUGUAUAUUUGUAUGAACAAUAUGUUGCACAAAUAUUAAAAACCAAACAAGAUUUUGCCCAAGAAAAUAUGCCAUGAAAUUAAACAUUGUUAUUAACGUUCAAACUUCCAUAGGUUUUCUUCACAAAAUAAUCCUCAAUUGGAAACAAACAAAACAAGACAGCCAUAAAAUUAGAAGGCUUCUCACGAUAAUCAUCAAUGUGAAAAGUGUAUAUAUGUAUAUGUAGGUUUGUGUAUAUGUGCACCUUAAUCAUACUUAGGACUCAUGGCUAAAAGGUUUACAAUUUUUGCUUUUAUUUUUAUUCUUGUGUUUCUUCAUGUCACAAAUUUGACUUUUGCACAAGAUGCAUCUCCUCCGCCACCAUCCAACACCACUGAUGCUCCACCGCCGCCGCCGCCAUCCAACGCCACUGACGCUCCACCUCCACCGCCACCAUCCAAUGCCACGGACGCUCCACCUCCACCGCCACCAUCCAAUGCCACCGACGCUCCACCUCCACCGCCACCAUCCAAUGCCACCGACGCUCCACCUCCACCGCCACCAUCCAACGCCACCGACGCUCCGCCUCCACCGCCACCAUCCAACGCCACCGACGCUCCGCCUCCACCGCCACCAUCCAAUGCCACCGACACUCCGCCUCCACCGCCACCAUCCAGCGCCACUGACGCUCCGCCUCCACCGCCACCAUCCAACGCCACUGACGCUCCGCCUCCACCGCCACCAUCCAACGCCACUGACGCUCCGCCUCCACCGCCACCAUCCAACGCCACUGACGCUCCGCCUCCACCGCCACCAGCGCAACACCACUGACCAGCCAAGCUCCGCCUCCACCGCCACCAGCCAACACCACUGACGCUCCGCCUCCACCGUCACCAUCCAACGCAACUGACACUCCCCCACCCCCAUCCAAUACAACCAACUCCCCACCACCACCACCUAAUUCCACUGUUAACUUACCACCUGCACCGCCGCCUAACUUGGGUUCAUCUCCACCACCGUCGCCAACGCCUAAUGGAGCAUUGAAGGAAAAGGGUGGUGGAGGUUCAAAAGGAUUGAGCGGGGGACAAAAGGCAGGGAUUGCAUUUGGAGUGAUCAUAGGAGUAGGUUUGUUGGGAUUUGUAGGAUUAAUUUGCAUCAAACGUCGUAGUAAUGCAAGAAGAAGCAGUUACGGAUAUGCUGCAAGAGACUCAAUCCUUUAACCCAACGGAUUCAGUUUUCAACCGUUUCCCUUUUUUGUAUCUUCUUCCAUAUAUAAUUUGCUCAACUUCAUGUUUUUCUUAGAGAUUUUAAUUAUUCACAUAUUAUGUCAAAUGAGUGCGAUUUUAGGUUAUAAUUUUAAAAUUUUUGUCCAAUAUAAAACUGAAUUAUUACUUCUAUUUGCUAGGAUUUUAGACAAUUUAUUAACCCUUCUCUUACCAAAAUAUUCUUGGAUGAAAUAAAUGCAAUAAUACAAAUUUAAUACAAGCUUAAUUAUAAUGGUCAUUGAGCUUCAUUUUCUUUAUAGUCCUUGAAAUGAGAAAUUAUAUUUUCUUGAGCAAAAGUUAAUAAGGUCCAUUUAUGUAGUUACCUCAAUUUUCUUCUUUUUUAUUUAUUUAUUUUUUGUGUUUUGUAGUACAAAUAAUAACAAAAAGUUAUUUAUUACUGUUAAGUUGAACUUUAUAAAACUUUGUGUUUAGUGAUAUGCAUGAUAGAUGUCUUCAUAGUAAAAUAAGUUUUCUAUUAUGUAUGAAUUUUAAUUUUAAUGACAAAAAAAAUGAAUGGAGAUGAGUUGGACACAGAAUAGAGAAGAUAAUAAAAAUCGGUCUUUUAAUUUAAUUACUUUCCAGUUUCCACUCUGUCUCUCUCCCAUCUCUAUUCACACAAAAUGGCAAUUUCUCAUUAUAAUUUCUCCAUAUCACUUUCCCUCUCCAUUCAUAUCUUUCCUGUCAUCUUUUAAAUUCUAACCCAUGCAAUUUGUUUUUUUUUCUUUUUUAAAAAAUCCAUUUAUCUUCAAACUAUUAAUUCAUAAAAAUUGUUAUAUUGGAUAUUUGAGUGGACUUCAUGACUCAAAAUGUAUAAAAAAAUUUGAGUUUUCUUAUAUGAUUGACAUGGUUUAUACAAAUAAAUUUGAAAAUAUAACUGACUGAAAUCAUUUCUUGUGAGACGUUUUCAAAAUAAUAAAUUAGAUUUUUGUAAUUGAUAAUAAGUUUCAACUAUAGUUUAAAUGUUUACCCAUUGAGAUUAUUCUUUAAUAUAUAUAUAUAUAUAUAUAUAUAUAUAUAUAUAUAUAUAUAUAUAUAGUUAUUUUAAAUUAAGAGGUUGCUCUCUCCUUCCUUGUAAAUUUUUGGUGAUCUAAUUAAUUAUGUAAUUAUAAUCUAUAUUUUCUCAGCUACAAUAACCAAACUUUUAGUUGAGUUGGUUGAGUUAAUUUUUAAGGUCAAAGUAUUAUAGUAUUGAAAGAAAAAGGCCAAAUUCCAUCAAUUCAAAUGAUUGUUCAACUAGAAGUGUUGUAUCUUAAUAUAUCAUCAACAUAGUGGUAUUCCACCUAAAAUUAAAUUGGUAUAUAUCCUUUUAGUUUAGGGGGAACAACAAAACAAACAAAAUAAAAAACUGAGAAAUAUAUGAUUCUUGACCAAAUAUUAGAAGAUUAGUUGUUGUUCUAAUAUUAAAUAAGACCCCAUCCAUAUAUAUUUGAUUCCAAAUAUUGUUAAGAUCUUAUUUGGAGAGGUUUAAAAAGGUUUCCUCUACAUUAUCACAAAACUUUAUUAUAAAACUAAUUUAUGUAUAUACUAAAUUAUCCGGUGAAAGUUAACAAGGGAACGUAAGAAUUGGAAAAAUGGAUCAUUAUGUAAAUAACUAUGGGAGUAAAAUAGAUGACAAUAACUUUUUAAUUUAUAUAAAAUAUUGGCAUGUUUUUUUAAAUAAAUAACAUUGUAUUUUUAUUAUAAUAUAAUGAGUUAAAAAUAAAAAUAAAAAAGAGAUGGGGAUAUUUGAAAUUAUAAAAAUAGAAUUAUAAGGUACAUAAGAAGAAAAAAAAUAUUCUCGAGAAGUAUGGAACGAAAGGGGAUAUAGUAAUAUUCUAUAUAUCAUUCGCUACUUUGCUAAGGUUACUUCCUACCACGUAAGCAAACACGUGGGCUCCACUCGAAUCCAACCAAAAGGGUAUUUUCGUCACAACUCACAUUUUGUAGAUUUUCAUUUUUCUUUUUUACUAAUUGAAUUAAAAUGUUUAAAUAUCAUGGCAAAGUUUAAUCCUAUCAUUAACAAAUUUUCAUAUAAUGUGAAUUAGGAGAGUGACAUUAUCAUUGUUGAACUAAAAAUAAUGUUCAAUUUAUAUUUAAAUUUAUGUACAAUCAAAACCUUAAUUUAACUUUUUUUUUUUUUUUGCUUAGUUUUCAUUUGAAUGGUGACGUCAAAAAUGAAGCAACAGUUAUUAUCUCUCGUGGUGUGAGAAAGUAAUCAAAGCUUUUGUUGAAUGAUAAUUUUCCACAUUCUAAAGUUUCUCUUUUUCCCACUUUAGUCCGUGAUUUCUUCUUUAUUCAUAAAACUUCUCUUAAAUAUAUUUAAUUUAUUUCCAAAAAUUUUAACUUUUGUUUUAUUUUAUCAUUAUUUUUUUUCUUUUGAGAAAAUUAAAUUAGAGAUAAGUUUUUCUUUUGUAUAUAUAAUUCUUUUUAACAAGAUUGAAUUUGUAAGGUCGAAGUUAAUACAUAUAUAGUAUAGGAAUAAAAACUUAAACAAUUAGCAAAUAAUUUAUGUGUGUGUAUAUAUAUAUAUAUAUAUGUAUUCGUUUGCACCUAUUUUUUACACCAAUAUUAAAAAGUGUUUUGUAUUAAUCUUACAUCUCACCCUUUUUCAAUCUAUUCAGACUUCUUAAUUAAAUUUGAUGUGAUGAAUGUGAAUAUAUAUUGACAUAUUAAACAUACCCUCCCUGUCUCUAUUAAUUACUUAUUUAUUAAUCAACCUCGUAUUUGUAUAAUAAUACACCACACCGUAUUUAGAGUUGAUGCCAUUAAAAACAUAAAUUGUGCAAAAAGCCUUACUUUAAGAUUCGUACAUCUUAUAACCUAAAAUGUACCUAAUAAUCAAGUUUGUUGUCAUCUUCAUGACAAUAUUUGUUAGUCGGUGAAAAAUACACGAUAUUGAAUGGAGUGUAAUUCAAUUCCUACGUUAUUAUACGAAGUACUUAAACACAAAUAGUACAACUCUUUACACUCGGUUGUUCUUCUCUAAUUCAUGCUAGGAGAAUUUUUUUUUUCUUACGUCAGUCUAAACAAGCGUCUAGAUUCAUUAUAAAGAAAAUUCUUAAUUUUCUAUAUUUGUAUUUUAAAUGUAAAAAUUAGAAUAUUUUUUUUUACUAAUGAAAGUGAAACUAAAAUUAAAAUUUGAUGAGUGUUACCAAUGUGACAAACUUAUGCUUAUCAUUAAGCCUAUCAUUUAACAAAAUAGAGUAAAAUUUUACAUUCUAUCAGUCAGCGAUAAGUGUUGAUAUGCUUUUAUUGAUUAUAGAUAGACAAUGAUAAAAUGCUAUGAUACGAUGAAUAUAAUCUAAAAUUUUGUUAUAGUUUAUUUGGUUAUUUGGAGGGAUAUUUGGACGUAAAAGGGAUAUUUGAGUAUAAAAACUACACCACCAAAAUAAAAUAAUAAUGGGUCUAAAAUAAGAGGAUAACCACUAUUUAUAUUAUAUAAUAGAGAGACGAGAGAGAGUAUAAAAGUGUGGGGUUUUUUUUGCAUAAAGAAAUGGAAUAUGAAAAUGUAUUGAAUAAUAAAUAAUAAUGAAAAAAACAAGACAUGCUCUGCAACGACUGAUUCUUGAGCUCUUUCGUCGGCCUCCUCUUCUGCCGCUAUUUCCUUUACCCUUUUUCUUACUUCUUCUUCUUCUUCUCUCUUCAUUCUAAUCUCUAUCAACGAAUUUCAACCUUUGAUUACAUAUAUAUUCAUUCCUAACAACUACUUCAAUUCUGUUUCUUUUUCUUUUUCUCUUUCUUUCAAGUUUUCAAGUUUUGAUUGCUACAACACACAAUUCGUCUUUCCUCUGUUCACAACAACAACCAGAAUUCUGUUUUCUACAACUCAUUUCUCAGGGCUGAAUGCUCUGAUCUUCGACGCUUUUCUGGGUUUUUGUACUCUUCUUCACCUGCUUUGGAUUUUCCAAUCCUUUGUUUUUGUGUUUUUUAAAAUGACCACCAAUUUAUUGGAAAUGCAAGAACCCAGCAUUGAUACGGAUAAGCUCAGCUAUGAGAUUUUUUCUAUUCUCGAGACUAAAUUCUUGUUUGGGUAUGAUGAUCAGAAGCUUUGGAUACCCAAACAGAUCUCUCCUCUUAUUGAUUCCAUCCCUCAACUUCAUCCCCGUCCAGAGCUUCAACCUGAAUCCAUCAAUGCUGUUUCUGCUAUUAAGAAUCAGAGGGGUAAAAUCUGCGUUCUCAGCAUUGAUAGUGGCGGCAUGCGGGGGAUUCUUUCCGGUAAGGCUUUGUCCUAUCUUGAACAAGCUCUCAAGACCAAAUCCGGCAAUCCAGACGCUAGAAUCGCUGAUUAUUUUGACGUUGCUGCCGGAGCUGGUAUUGGAGGUAUUUUCACGGCCAUGCUUUUUGCAACCAAGGACCAGACCCGUCCAAUCUUUAAUGCCGACGAUACCUGGCGCUUCCUCGCUGAACAAGGGAAGCGAUUCUACCGUUCGUCUUCAAGCUCUGGAAACGCCUUUUUCCGGCGCCUUCGUAAACCUCGCGGCUCUUCCUCCGCCGCCAACUCUACCGCCGGUUUGGAGAAGGCGAUGAAAGAGGCGUUUGUAGAGAACGGGAGAACCUUAACGCUUAAGGACACUCUGAAACCGGUUCUAAUCCCUUGCUACGAUCUUUCCAGUACGGCGCCGUUUCUGUUCUCUCGAGCCGACGCUCUCGAGACGGAGAGUUUCAAUUUCCGGCUAUGGGAGGUUUGUCGAGCCACAUCGGCGGAACCGGGGGUGUUCGACCCGGUUCCAAUGCAGUCCAUCGACCGCCAAACGCAAUGCCUGGCCGUGGACGGUGGAUUGGCCAUGAGCAACCCAACGGCGGCGGCGAUCACGCACGUGCUGCACAACAAGCAAGAGUUCCCGUUCGUGCGAGGAGUUGAGGAUCUUUUGGUUCUGUCUCUAGGGACUGGUCAACUGUUUGAAGGGAAUUACGAUUACAAUGAAGUGAAGGGGUGGAAGGCGAAGGAGUGGGUUCGGCCCAUAGCUCGAAUCUCCGGCGAGGGUGGGGCCGACAUGGUGGACCAGGCGGUGGCCAUGGCUUUUGGGCAGUGUAAGAGCAGUAAUUACGUGCGAAUUCAGGUACGGAAAUAUUCUUUGUUCUGGAAUUCCCCUCCCUUAUAAGUAUAAACACUUUAAUCAAUUCGUAAAAUUUGAUUUUGGCUUUGUUGAUUAGUUUUGGUCUAUUUUUGGGUGAAUAUUAUUGAGGUCGCUGUUGGACAUGGAUUGAUAUUGGUGGUAUUGUGGACAGCCUGUGGGAUGGUCAAGAGAUUAUCCUCCAUCACCUCCUCCCUUCAUUUGUUUGUUUCCUUUUUAGAUUUUAUUUAUUGUUAAUUUUCACUACCCUUUUUCUGACUUAGGUUAAAACUAUUUUUUCUUUGCAUACUCUGUUCUUAAGGAUCUUGAUUUGAGUUCAUGAUCGUUUUACUUUUAUAUCAUCCAACACUCUCCUCACUUGUGUUGAAAACUUGAGGGUGUAAAUGAUGGUACAGGAGUAAAAUUCCUUUGCUACUGUAUGCUGAAUGUUGAUAACAUGGUGGAAGUUCCCGUGUUCCAACUCUUGAAUCCUCGUUUUCUUUUCAAUUACUAUUGAAUUUCACUUUUUGGAUUUUUGGUAAACAUUUUGCUUCUAUUUGUAUGUUUGCUCAAACCUGUUGUUUUCAUCAAACUUGAUCUUUUAUAGAAGAAAAUGAUGCCUUACAUUUCAACUGGUAGAGCAUUACGUAUCUCGAUAUCUUUGGAAGGGAAGGGUUCUUCAUUUCUAACUUGCCAACACUUUUGUCAGUUUGAGAAAAAGAAAAAGGUCUUGAAGACUAUAGGAAAUGGGUUUUUGUUUUCUUGACGAAAGGAAAUUGGUUUUUUUCCUUUUUGACAAGAAUAUUACACUGUGGAUUAGGUAAAAAAGAGAUUUGAAGAUUCAUAAAAGAGAGACAUUGAUGUUGACCACAGGAUCUAUAUAAGAAUGAAAUUGAUUUUCAGGUACAUAGUAAAACGAGCUAAUCAAGGGAUUUGUAUUAUUUCUCUGCUUUUAAGGGAACUAAAACGUAGACUGUUUCCCAACUCUUGCACCAAAAGAUGGUAAAAUUUUGGCACUUUACUUUCUUCAAUUUGCAAUCUUUAAUUUUAAGAUAUGCCCCUUUCUUUUUAGUAUUGAAGGAAAAAGGGUUCCCAUCGCUGGUAUGUCUUCUUACGGAAUGCCAAUUGUCUUUGUUGAACGCAAUUAAGUUGCACCAUCUAAAAUUGUCACUUGUCACUUCAACUAUUACUCUUGUCCAUAUGUUUUGGCUUAGCAUUAUCCUAAUUGGGACCCAUCUUUCUCACUAAAUUUAUUUUGUAAAAAAACUUGAGGUUCUCAUAUUAUUAACUCUCUGUAUUAACUGCUCCUUCUUCAACUACUUCUACCAUUCAUAUAAAAUCUUCAUUUUUACUUCUCUUGGUAUAGAAUAAAAUCUUCAGGAGGUAGGGUCUAUCAGGGUUUGUCUUUAUUACAACAUAUUCUUUAUUUUGAGUGAUAUUGGGAACACUUCGAAAACUGGGUUUUACUUACUUUUACCAUAGAUGUUAGUUACUGCUAUAGUAAUCAUCUUAAGAUAUAUUGAUCAAUGAAUAUUUAAUUUCUAAUUGUUACUAUUUAUGGGGUUUUCUAGGCAAAUGGAUCCAGUAGUGUUCCAUGCGGUCCUAAUGUGGAGACAGAUCCAAGUUCCAGCAAUGUAAAUAUGCUGGUUGGAUUAGCAGAAGAGAUGCUGAAACAGAAAAAUGUUGAAUCUGUUCUAUUUGGAGGGAAGAGGAUCGGUGAGCAGACGAAUUUUGAGAAACUUGAUUGGAUUGCUGCAGAGUUGGUUUUAGAGCAUCAGAGGAGGAGUUGCAGAAUAGCUCCUACUGUUGCUUUCAAGCAAGUCUUACCUUCAAACCCAUAGAAAAA